Molecule: long non-coding RNA, 6515 nt
Organism: Labeo rohita (rohu)
Lineage: Eukaryota; Metazoa; Chordata; Actinopteri; Cypriniformes; Cyprinidae
Exons: 8
Source: RefSeq, a predicted model, not a curated record
UCACCUCUGAUUAUCUAAACAUCUCUGUUGCUGACUUCUUCCUCGAAUGUAGGUUAAAAUGUCCAUGCUUGUUCUUCUGGUGUUGAUUAUAUUAUUAAUCAAGCUAAAUGAUGACUCCACUACAGGACCAUGGAAGAUGAGAGUGCUGCUUUCACCACUUAGUUGAGGUCUGGAGAACUCUGUUUUCAUCACGUGGUUCCACCACUCCACCAAGUUCUCUCCAUCCAGGUAGAGUGGCCAGACAGGUCCACAUUGUACUUGAUGAUUUACAUCACUCUUUCCUAGUAAGGUGUUUCAUCAUAAGGGCCAGUUCCUUGAGGCAAUCAACAGUCAGUGAGUCACCCCUUACAGAGGGAUCCAGUGAAGGCAGACUCUGAAGCGUUGGACUUUGUAAUGGGAAGCUUCUUCUGUAGGUAGAGAUCACUUUCUCAGGGAACACCUUUAGUAGCUGCAACACAGUGAGCUUCAUUAGAUUUUGGGCAAUGACAACAUCAUUAUGGCUUCAUACAGAUUGUUUUGGAUGUAAAUAGAACAAUGACUUGGUGUUUUAAGUGAGUUAAAUUAUAGUUCAAGGUUACAAGUACGGUGCUAAACAUUAGUGUGUUGUUAUCCAAAUGUUUAUGGAGCUUGCUGUAAACACAAUAAUGAAUCAUUUCUACAUGUAUGGCUAAAACAAUUACCACAAAGGAAACACACUAAAUUGUUUUUUUGCAGAGUACAAAGUGCUGGGUUAUUUUUGUAAACACAUUGUUGGGUUAAUUGUGCUGGGUCAAAAUUCUGGGUUGUUUGAGGUACUGUAAACACACAGUUGGGUUGAUCAUGCAGGGUCAAAUGGACUCCAGGGGUUCUUUCAGCACUGAACACGCGGGUUGUGUUAUUUUAACCCAACCGGUUUGUUUAUUAUUCCACUUCAUCAAACUUUUUGGAUUCUUCUAGUCUCCUCGUCAGGCGGUCACGCAAUUCUCAGCAAGCAGGAUUAUACGGUAAGUUAAUAUGAUUAUAUGAUUAUUUACCUUUAUUUUUUAAUAAGUUGUGUUUUAAAGCACAGUAAUUUCACUGUUUAAUCCAAUAUUUGGUAUGUUGCUGUGCGGAGUUAGCGUUUUAUUCUGUGAAUGAUUAACGAACGUUAAGUAGCAGCCUAUAGUGAGGUACUUUUUUGCCUCAACAAUCGCUUUAUCGUUAAAUAAAAGUGUGUGUGUGUGUGUGUGUGUGUGUGUGCAUGUGCAAAGUUUUAUUUAUAUACAGUACACAACCUUUUUUUUAUCAGUACUGUCCUUUUUUAACGCUUCAUGAAAACAGGCAUAGAAAUACGGGGUAAGUUCAGUUACUGUCUGCAUACUGUAUGGCUUUGUAAUGUUUUGUCAGAAUUAUGUCAUUUCGUACUAAAAUUGAUCUUUUAAGGGCAUAUUUUUUUCAAGUCAAUGUCUGCGACGUGCCGAAUCCAACGGUAGAUCCGUAAUUUUUAUGUUGUGCAUUUUCGCGCUUCUUUCUUCGCUCUUUUUUUGUAUUUGCAUUCGGGGCGUAUACCCACUUCUCCAGGCACCACGACACCACUGUUUAUGAGGUCCUUUUACUCUUCCUCUAUUUUAGUGAAUGCUUGUGUUACAUUACAAACUAGGAGACCAGUAUAAAAAUUAAAUGGGUAUGCCGUCUGAUUUUUUUUUUUUUUAACAGUGUAGGGCUUCAGAUUGGAGACUGAUAAAUGCAGUUCAGUGGUGAGAUGCUAGCUUGGGUUGCCUUCAGGUACCCUAUAAUAUAGAAUCGUGUCAUCACGUGUUUGACAAACGCUCCAGUGCAUACAGUAUUUGUGUUCUAACUCUGAAGCUCGCUAAAGUUUUACAACAAUUCAAUCAAACUGUUUUAAUUUGGCACUACUGCGCAAAACUUUGUGUUUUAUUUUUUUGUUUUUUUUAACGUUUACGAGAUCUCGCGAUAUUAAAAUGCUUAAGAAGCUUUCUCGCGAUAUCAGCAUAAUAGAACUGAUCUGUGUUUAAAUGAUUGCGCUUCAUCUAAACGCAUUAACCUGCUUUCUAUAUAAAAUAAGUCAUUGUAAAAACAGUUUUGUGAAAUUCUAAUUUUCUAAAUCUGAAAUUUCAUUCUAGAUAUGUGAGAUUCUUGCUGGUGAAGAUGGACAGCUUUGUAAUAGAGAAGUUGAAGGAAAGGCAGCUUGAUAGCUUGGUUAAAACCUUUGAAGAUUUCACAAGACUUCAGGAAGCUACAUCCAGAGGCAGACUUUUUGAAGACUGGGCUACAAUUGCAGACCAAAUUGUUGCCUAUGCUCAGCAAGAUGGAAAGGUGCAUUAAGAGCUGGGUGACAUGACUUCAGAUAAGUUUCACAGUUUGCACUGUAUUAUUCUUAUGGUUUAGAUGCUAAAAUGGAGAGUGCUUUCAAAGUCCUGCCCAUUCUAGAGGAAUGGUCCACAGAACCACAACCACAGAAUUCUGGAAGCCAUUCAUUGACAUACAACCUGUGGGGACCAGCAUGGUGGAUUUCUGUCUUAGGGACGAGACAACGACAUCCCAGACCUUCACCAUUGUUUCGGGUCAUGCCACUGAAGCGGACUCGUUGCCAGGGAAUUUCUCCGGCUUGCAGUAUAUUAUAUUGAUGGACAAGUCUUCAUGUGUGAAUUUUUUAAGGCCAACAGAUUUUCUGGCCACUUGUAACAUGUUUUAAAUUGUCAUAUGUUUGUCUGGUGGACACUUUGUUUGGCUUAGUUUUAAUAGCACAAUGUUUGGAAAGCAAUAAUAAUUUUACAUUCUUUUGUGACUAUUUAUUAUUAUUGGUAAAUAUAAAGGUAGCAAGGCAAUAAGACAACAAAUAACCCAAUGUUUAGGUUAUGUUUAACCCAGCAACACAGUUAACCUGACCCAGUGGUUGGGUGAAAUAAACAACCCAGCAUUCUAGGUCAAAUGGUUAAACCCAGCACUUGGGUCAAAACAACCCAACGCGUGUUCGGUCCCAUAGUUACCCAGCAGCUGGGUUAAGGUUGAGUUAUUUUUUAACCCAGCACUUUUUAGAGUGUACUAACUGCUUGUUUUGGAUCCUCAGUUCUGAUUUUAUCUGCUUCUUAUCCCGCAUUCUCUUGCAGGCAGCAUCUUGUCUGUUAAAUCAAGCUCUACAGUUCUUUGGGAUGCACAUUGCAUGUUCCGCUUUGAUGAAACAUGCCAUAAAGUGUGUGAACUAGGGGUGUGAUGAGACACUUAUCCCACAAGACGAGACAUGAGACUGAGUUCACGAAAACGAGACGAGACAAGAUUUUUAAACUUUUCUUAAGAAAUCCUUAAUAAUGAAAUAUAUAGGGAAAGUAGUCUUUUAUUCAACUGUAAAAGGAAAAAAUGCAAAAAAUGUAGUUGCAUUUUGAACUUUAUGAAAUUAAGCUUCCAUUUUAAUGAAAUAAUAUGCAGUAAUAAAAAACAUUUAAACAAGAGCUUCACGAUUCUGGAUAAAUUGAGAAUCCCAGUUGUUUUUAACCAAUUAGAGACCAUGAUUAUCUCACGAUUCUGGAGAAAAAAAAAAAAAUUGAAAACUAAACAAAUUAUCAUAAUUUACUAGUGGUUUUGACAAACUGAUAAUUGCUUAAGUCUUUAAAAAAAAACCAUAUAUUCAUUUAAACAAAAUAAUAAUAAUAAAGAAAACAUUCAGUGUGAAACAGUCCUAAUAGACAUAGCUAAAUCAUUGUCAUUCAGGAAUGUGAUCGCGUUGGUAUUUGAAUCGAGAUCUCUGUAUUUUAAGGAUUAAUCGUUCAGCUCCAAUUUAAACACUGCAAAAUGUUUUAUGAGGAUAUCGUCACGAGAUCUCCCAAGAUCCGACUGGUCUCACGAGACAAUUCGGAUCUCGCGAGAUCUCAUCACAUCCCCAAGUGUGAACACUUCAAGUUGCUCAUCGUGCAACUUGUGGAGUACAAUCUGGCUACCUUGUGCGAAAAAUAAUUUAUCUUAUUAGUUAAUUGAUGUCCAUUAUGCCUCUGAUCUACAGUACCCAAAAUGAGGAGGGCUAACUACAUUUGCAAUUCUUCUGUUACUAAGGAACCAUCACGUAUUCCUUCAGGAUGGCCAGCACACUCGUGUAGUAACUAAGUUGAUGUUUUGUAGUGGUGUUCUCAUGCCACACUUUUCUUAUAUCUCUCUUCUUCUGAUCCCUGCCUUGCUGUGUCAUGCCUGGGAAGAAAACUGACAGUCUUUUACGUAUUUUGUUGAGAUCAUCAUAAAAGGACUGAAUCCUUGUCUGUGCUUUCUCACUGACAGCCAGAUCUUUGUAAAGCUCCUCAUCACCUUUAUCCAUGAAGCCAAAAUACAACGCAGGAAGCAGCCUGUGUGUAUUGAGAGCCACAUCCUACUGAGAGCCAAUGGUGAGAAACAAAUCUUUGUGGGUUGGAGGCAGGGAUGCCCAUAAAGUUACAUAUUUCUUUGAGUGGUGACAUCACCCUCCAGGAAGUGACAUCAUUUUGGUGAGAAGACAACAGCACCAAUAUCUGAUAGGACAGAUCAGAACUGACAGGAAGUGAAGUGGGAGAGAGAUGGGGGCGGGAUCGGGAAAGGUCCUUGAGUCGGGAUUCGAACUCGGGACGCCUGUAGCGCAACGGCACGCUGACCACAAGGCUAUGGGUGCUGACAUUUGUGAUGGGCAGUUCAAGAUUGCUGUCGUUCAAGAAGUUAAUGACCACUGUUGCUGUUGUGAGCUACAAAUACCCAGAAGAGACGGCACUUACAUUGGAAUUCAUACAGAAGUAAGCAACACAAUUUUCCUGUGAAGAAAUCCUGAAUGUGGUUUGAGUUGUAGGCAACCAAGUGGCUGUGCAAUCCUCCAAGACUCUUGCAUGAACAUUUUCGAAAAUCCAUGUAAUAUUUGAGCUUUUUUAAAAUGUAAAAAAUGGCAUUUGUAUUAAACAUGCAGGUAAAUGGGAAAUAAUACAUCCCCUAUAAUGAAUUGCAUCACAUCACCCUAUAAUGAUAUUUCAGUUAUAAUGAACUUCAAUUCUGUUGUCAAGCCACUGGAGUCACAUACCCACAAAGUCUUAUGGGUUUGGAAUUGUAUGAGGGUGAGUAAUUGACAAAAUUCACAUUUCUGUGUGAACUAUCCCUCUAAACAAUAUUGUUUUCUCAUAUAAGAAAAAAGUUUUGAAUCUUGACUGUUUUACAGUUUGAAGUUUAAAUUUUGUGACCACAUUUUAGUGCAACACUAGUAUUGUACAGAUGCUCAUGUUUUCUUUUUUUUGUUUUUAUUCUGUCUGUUACUGUUUAAAGCUAAACUGUCUUUUACAAUACAGGCAUUUUUCAGUGUUUGACACAUUGUUAAAUGAAUUGAUUGAGUAUUUGAUAUUGUUUAGUCCUAACCCAUUUAAGGCAAACAAAAGCCAUUGAAUGCACUUCUAAGAAUGUUUACAUGAAGUAAAAAUAAACCAUGUUCAAUUUGUAUAUUGUGCUGGAUUUAGAGAGGGAGUAAAAUCUUUCCAUGCCUCGGGCAUAUGCCACUCCACAUGUUACCGCUACAUGCGCAUGGCACUGCACAUGUCACCGUUAUGUGCGCAAGGCACCGGCAGCUGCCACUCGACCUGCUUUUUGCUUUAUAUAUAUAUAUAUAUACAUAGAUAGAUAGAUAGAUAAAAAUACACCAUUAAAACAGAAAAAGUCAUGUUUUUUUUAUUGGUGGCAGACUGUAAAUUGGCAGACUGUAAAUUUACGGUACAAAGAGCUGCCAGUACUUUUUCAGUUUUUUUAUGGAAUUUUUUUAUUUAUUUUUUUACAGUGAGCAUGUCGCUUGUGGGCGUUUUUGAGCAUGUUGUGUUCUAAACUAAAAGUUCUAAAAGUUUUUAGGGUCGUGUGUAUGCACAUGCUGAGAGCUGCUCUCCACUGUGAAAGGAAUAAGGACUGACAUUGUUUGGGGUGUUGGCAAGAGUAAUUUGUAUGACAUCAUUCGAUGUUUACAAGUAAAACGUGAAGUUCUUCAUUUAACAGUAUUCUGUUCCCUUCACAUAAAUCAACAUCAAACAAUAUCAAAGAAUUAUUACUUUUGCUUACAAGUCAAUUUGAAUAAAAGUUCCAACUAAAUGUGUUAAAUAUAAAUAUGAAUGCAAAUGAUUUUGCAUUACAAAGAUAACAAACAUUGACCAUUACAUAUUGACAGCGUUCUGCCUCAGCUAAAUUUGGUAACAUAGCCAACAUAUGUUACUGUCAGUGUGUGGUUUGUCACUGUGUGCAUUUCUUAUCCAAUAAUGAAAGCCUAUAUUAGAUCUUGUCAUUCUUACUUCUCCUUCUUUUACACUUGAAGUGCAUGAAAGAGACUCUUUACGCUCCUUCACACAAAAUCACUGUUCUGGAAUUAUUUUCUCUCUUUCAAAACUAAAGGCUAAAUGCAUGUUGACAUGGGGCGGAAAUGGUCUGAGAACACUGCAUUCCUUAACUUCAAAACAGUACAGUAAGGCACUAAAUUCAUGGUCAUGGUUUUGAUUCCCAGGGAGCGCAAUGGGAAUAUGAAUCACUUUGGGUAAAAACAUCUGCCUGACAAAUGUGCAAUG